Non-coding RNA from Pelobates cultripes (western spadefoot toad), 125 nucleotides. The record is from the annotation of a GenBank genome assembly. Lineage: Eukaryota; Metazoa; Chordata; Amphibia; Anura; Pelobatidae.
AUCUGUAUGUGUAUCAGUGUGUAUGUGCAACUGUAUUUGUAUCAGUGUUUGAAUCUGUGUAUCUGCAUGUGUGUCAAACACUGAUACACAUACAGUUGCACAUACACACUGAUACACAUACAGAU